AUGAGUCUGACUCACAACUGGAGACCUUUUCUCACCAUGAUGGCCAGUGCAAAGGCAAGGGCACUCCCAGCCCACACACUGCAUUCGUGCAGUCUCUCAGGUACUUGUUUCACCUGUUUCACAUACUUUAAAAUAAGUGACUGUACCUCACUUCUUAAAUUCCAAGGUACUUCAGUUCCAGGCCUGCCAGCCAGGCUGGAUGAUACUGUCCCUUCUGCUGACAGGAGCACAAAGCGGGGAGCCUACGAGACACACUCAUUGAGCCACAGGCCUGUCACAGGCAGGCUCUGGUGGAAGCAGGUCUCUGGGUUAGGAGGCCUUAUGUGAAAGUGGAACUUCCAGAGGAUGAAGAAGAGAAGCACCUCUCUCUCUUUGUUGAGAGUAUGAAGAACCUAGACACCUACCUCAUACAUGCAAGUUAGCUGCCUAAAGUUCGACAAUGUAAGAAAACUAAUGCUGAAUGCUCUACACAAAAAGCUGUGGGCAUCGGGAACAACUCCCAUACAGACUAUCUGAGCUGAUACUGAUAUGAUCUAAGCCUCACUUUCCUCUCUUCUAUCACUUAGAAAUUAGAUUUUUGUUUAAAAACACCAUCAGGGAACCCAAGCAAUCUCUCCAGUUUCGGGGUGCUAAAGCAUAUUCAUUAAAAUGCCCAGUUUGGAGAAGGCGAUGUUUUAGAACACUAACAAUGCUUAAAAUGCAACGUUAACAGUUCUACAGGCCAGAAUGGCUGAACGUGUGACAACACUCAACAAGCUUGAAAUUCACUGGGACAAGGCCCACACUUUCCUUUCAUAUUAGCUCAGCACCUAGCACCUGCUUCAUGAUUAGUCCUAAUAAAGUAUCUAAAAUACAACA
This 858-nucleotide long non-coding RNA is filed under the name Anser brachyrhynchus (Pink-footed goose). RNAcentral's name for it is "lncRNA (ENSABRG00000010088.1)". The record is from RNAcentral. Lineage: Eukaryota; Metazoa; Chordata; Aves; Anseriformes; Anatidae.